ACCUAAACACUUAGGUGGUCAACACAAUGACCUCUUGUUCAGCAUGUGUAAGUUGGCAGUCUAUUUUUCUGGGAACAUUGCUGAAAGCAUUACAAAUGAUGUCAUUACGUUAAUAAAUUUGGUUUCAUUCUUCACUCACAAGAAAGGAAAAGAAAAAGAUUUCUUUGUGCCCUAGGCCCUGUCACUAAGAUCCUUCCCAGUGUAGAGAACAGGCUUAGUUGCCCAGAGCACCUUCGGUCCCUCAGCUGAGCCACCAGGGUCUUCAACAUUGCAGGAAUUCCCAUGGUGGCCAGCAGAGAGAGCUCGAGCACCACACACCCGGAGGCGCUGGUUCCUCUGCCGAGGCAGUGAUGGCCAGCAGAGGGCUCACCAUCGGCUUUUCUGACCCAGGGCACUUCAGAGCAGGAAGGGCUUCUAUUUAUUCCAGAGAGCGCAGCGCCUCUGCUGCUGCCUCAGGACAGAGAGCAGAGCUGCCUUUCCAGCGUGUUCUGCCGCCCACCCCAGGGGAGAUCUGGGGAGCUUUGCAGCAACUUGGCAUCUCCUGAGGCCCACAGAGUAUCUGCUUGUUGUACUGAGUGCUGAGGAGGGGGCGCUGGGUGGCUUCCCUGGGCAAGCUGGUUGCUGAGCUGCACAGGCACUUGCAUUUUCUGGGCUGUUCCCGUGUUUCAUUCCUCCACUUCCUGGACAGUAUUUGAGCAAGACAUAUUUUACUAAAGAGCUCGUGGAUUGCGGGGUCCCACGACAUCACCUCAUCGAUGCAGUCGAUGGUUUGCUCCAGAUUCAGGCUUGUUUCCGGGAAGAAGCCCUGACAGAAGUUCAGAAGAACGGGAGCUGCAUUCCGUUAGGACGUGAAUACAUGAAAUGCUCCUCUCACGACCUUCUAGAAGAAUGAGCUGGGACCCAGUUUCUGAGUCUGCUGGAACCAGAGACCGAGGUGUGGAGUUUCUUCUGCCAGUCUUUGGAUUGCUCUCUGGUUCGUGGACUUGGAUGUGGAUGUUAUGUAGUUGAACACAUGGGACAAGGUCACUGCUACGACGCCCAACAGGGAACCCUAAGCAGAGAGGGAUUCAGGAGCAGACCAGCUACCGCUUGGCUCCCACAAAUGGUCGCCUUGGAACUCUUUAUGGAAGAGGAGAAAACACCCACCACCACCGUUUCAUAACCCUGCACUGAAUGUGGAGACAACAACCACCCACCCCCAAAAUGAAACUCCAGCAGGGUACAUGUAUUGAAUCUAAGGUGUUGGUCAUGUAUUUUGGAUCAAUAAGUGAGGUUGUGCUUUUUGACUGGUAAGUGUACAUCUAAAUCCCUUGGAGGGGAUAUUCUCUGAGGUCACCCCAACUUAAAUUGUUGGCCCAUGGGGAGAUGUGUUGUCCCUAUUUGUUGUAUUGAUGUUGUCUCUGUAGGCCAGUGAAUUAAAGCUCCAUAGAGUCUUGUCCUAUUCCCGCCUCUCCAUGGGAAGUUCCAUUUCACUGAUUGGAAGAGACAGUACAACCCUCGUGUGGCCAUUCAUAUGAGUCACUAUUUAGGGAACAAAUGAUUAUGCUACCUUUGCACGGUCAUUUCACGAAUGUCCCUGGGCAGGCAGGGCCUCUAAAACUACAAAUGCUACAGGCUAUUUUAUUGGUAAACAGGUGGGGUUUGUGUUCACUGAGUUCCUUUUAUUUCUUUUCACUUUUCCUUGAUUGCCUAUCUGUGUUGGGUCAACAAUUGGUUUGAUAUUGACUUUACAGUUAGGUUAUUUUUAUCUUAUGUUUAUCCAUGGUUAUCUGCUCUGAUAGACGCUUAGGCAAGGACAAAUAUUUCUUGUUGCACAUACUAGCCUUAUUGCUUCUUUUGUGAAAUUAACCUGGUCAUAACUUAGGGGUUGGUUGUCUUUUUUAUUGUAUUCAGAUCUUAAGAUCAUAUACAAGUGCCUGAGCCAUACUAUGAACGCUCAUCGCCACAGACCUAACAACCGCCUACAGUACGCGAAUCAUAUCUUUUGCCCUUCCAGGACAGCCUGAUACACGUACUUGGCGAUGCAGGGGUGUAAUGCUCGAACCCCUUAUCGGCCUUGGACGGGUGUCAUGCUAGCACUCCCCCAUCGGCAAGGGAGUAGUGAUGUCACCACUAAAUCUAACAUUUCUUGAAUAGUUUUCAUCACAGUCAGAGCUGAAGAAGCAGUCUUAUGUUACAGUUAGGGUUAGGGUUAUGAUUAGAGUUAGAGUUAGGGGUUAUGAUAAAGGUUAGGUCACACUUACACCCCCCCCUUAGGUGCGGGAGGGAGGCACUCAUGCACCUUGCCACCCCUCAGCAUGGGAGGCUGUCAUCCAUGUGCCGGCCCCCCUUGGUGAGGGAGUAGUGAUGCUACUAUUAAAUCUGAUGUUUCAUGAAUGGGUCUUUUCACUUUCAUGGCUGAAGAAGCAGCGUCUCUUAUGAUGAGGGUUAGGGUUUGGAUUACCCUGAGGGAUAGGGUAAGAGUUAGGUCAUGCUUGCACCCCCCUCCCCGUUUGGCAAGGGAGGAAGGUCACGCCUGACCCCCGCCACCCUUGAUGCCAAAGGGUGUUCAGGCAUGCACCCUGCCUCCCCUCCACAAAGGGAGUAGUGAUGCCACUAUUUAACGUGUUGUUUUAUGAAUGGCUCUUUUCACUUUCACAGCUGAAGAAGCAGGCAUUUCUUAAGGUAAGGGUUAUGGUUAGGAUUGCCGUUCAUGGUUCGGGUAAGGGAUAGGCCAUGCCUGCACCCUCCCUUGGAGUGGGAGGGCGUUCACACAUGCUCCACACCCCCUCUCAUCUUGAGAGGGUGUUCACCAAUAGGACCCAGCCCCCUUCGGCGGGGGAGCGUGUUGAUGUAUGUGCCUGCACCCCUCUCAUGUGCGAGGGUGUUAAUGCAUGGGCACCACAACCCUAGGAGAGGGAGGGCAUUUGCCCCUGCGCCCUGCCCUGUUUGGCUCAGGAGGUUGUUCACGCAUGCGCACAGUCCCCCAUUGGCUUGGGAGGGUGUUCAGUUAUGUGCACGCACACGCCUCUAGGUGCAGGAGGGGGUUCACGCAUGUGCCCUGCCCCCCUGAGGCGCUGGAGAGGGUCACUUGUGCACAGCGCCACUAGUCAGUAAGGGAGUAGUGAUGCCACUAUUAAAUCUCAUUUUUCAUGGACGGCUGUUUUCACUUUCGCAGCUGAAGAAGCAUACAUCUCUUAAGGUCAAGGGUAGGGUUAGCAGUACAGUUAGGGGCUAAGAUAACUGUUAGUUCAUGCUUGCUCUCCCCCCUCAGCAUGGGAAGGUUUCACGCAUUACCCUGCUAUCCUGAGCAAUGGAGAGUGUUCACCCUUUCACCCCACCCCCUGAGAGUGGUAAAAUAUUGAAGCAUGUGCUCCACUCCACCUCCGCUGGGUAGGGCUUUCAUACAUACGUAGGUCCCCACUUCGGGACAGAUUGUUCAUACAUGUGCACCACCACCUCUCGGUGUGGGAGGGUGUUCACUCAUGGGCACACCCCACCUAUGCAUGGAAGAUGAUUCAUGCAUGUGUCUUGCCCACCUCAGCAUGGGAGGGUUUUUACACAUGUGCACAGCCCCACCUUGGUGUGGGAGAGGUCACCCAUGCAGAGCGCCACCCAUCAAUGAGGGAAUAGUGAUGCCACUAUUAAAUGUGACGUUUCAUGAAUGGUUCUUUUCACUUUCACAGCUGAACUAGCAGACAACCCUUAAGCUGAAGAAGCACGCAUCACUUAAGCUGAAGAAACAUGCAUCUCUUAAGGCUUGCAUCUUCCCUCUACCUCUAUACUCCAAGAUCCUGGCUGGCACUGGAAUUACAUCCUUAGCAGGGGCAUCACAACAUCUAGGUGAGUCUAUGCAAGUCAGAAUCAACCUCCAUCAACCUCCAUCCUUUAUGAGACCUAAGACGUGAUGCAGCUCCAAUGGGAAAUAUCACUUGUGUCUCUACCAAGGAUGCAGAAAAAGACAAGGUAAAU
Long non-coding RNA from Leopardus geoffroyi (Geoffroy's cat), 3951 nucleotides. RefSeq lists it as uncharacterized. Lineage: Eukaryota; Metazoa; Chordata; Mammalia; Carnivora; Felidae. The record is from RefSeq and is a predicted model, not a curated record. The transcript is spliced from 7 exons.